This 395-nucleotide ribosomal RNA is filed under the name uncultured bacterium. RNAcentral describes it as "bacterial SSU rRNA". It matches the Rfam family "Bacterial small subunit ribosomal RNA", at positions 28 to 417 of the family's 1533-position model. The record is from RNAcentral.
GACGAACGCUGGCGGCGUGCCUAACACAUGUAAGUCGCACGGGACUGGAGGGCAACUUCCAGUUCAGUGGCAGACGGGUGCGUAACACGUGAGGAACCUGUCCGACGGCGGGGGAUAGCCGGCCCAACGGCCGGGUAAUACCGCAUACGAUCGUUCGGGGGCAUCCCUGAACGAGGAAAGCAGCCGCAAGGUUGCGCCGAUGGAGGGUCUCGCGGCCUAUCAGCUAGUUGGCGGGGUAAGGCCCACCAAGGCGACGACGGGUAGCUGGUCUGAGAGGAUGGCCAGCCACAUUGGGACUGAGACACGGCCCAGACUCCUACGGGAGGCAGCAGUGGGGAAUCUUGCGCAAUGGCCGCAAGGCUGACGCAGCGACGCCGCGUGUGGGAUGACGGCCU